GGGACGAACGCUGGCGGCGUGCUUAACACAUGCAAGUCGAACGGUAAGGCCCCUUCGGGGGUACACGAGUGGCGAACGGGUGAGUAACACGUGAGCAACCUGCCCUUGACUCUGGAAUAACAGCUGGAAACAGCUGCUAAUACUGGAUACGACCUCCGGCGACAUCGCCUGGAGGUGGAAAGCUCCGGCGGUCAAGGAUGGGCUCGCGGCCUAUCAGCUUGUUGGUGAGGUAACGGCUCACCAAGGCUUCGACGGGU
RNAcentral lists this ribosomal RNA (257 nucleotides) under uncultured bacterium. Its description in RNAcentral is "partial small subunit ribosomal RNA". It matches the Rfam family "Bacterial small subunit ribosomal RNA", at positions 27 to 284 of the family's 1533-position model. The record is from RNAcentral.